UCAUUUCAAGUGACCUUAGCCACACGUGUGU
This 31-nucleotide non-coding RNA is filed under the name Mus musculus (house mouse). Lineage: Eukaryota; Metazoa; Chordata; Mammalia; Rodentia; Muridae. The record is from RNAcentral.